CACCGGCAGCCCAAGUGGUGGCCAUUUUUAUUGGGCCUAAAGCGUUCGUAGCCGGCCUGAUAAGUCUCUGGUGAAAUCCCGCAGCUUAACUGUGGGAAUUGCUGGAGAUACUAUCAGGCUUGAGGUCGGGAGAGGUUAGAGGUAUUCCCAGGGUAGGGGUGAAAUCCUAUAAUCCUGGGAGGACCACCUGUGGCGAAGGCGUCUAACUGGAACGAACCUGACGGUGAGUAACGAAAGCCAGGGGCGCGAACCGG
This 254-nucleotide ribosomal RNA is filed under the name uncultured prokaryote. RNAcentral describes it as "partial 16S ribosomal RNA". It matches the Rfam family "Archaeal small subunit ribosomal RNA", at positions 474 to 727 of the family's 1478-position model. The record is from RNAcentral.